UUACUACUCAAGUGAACUCAUGGGUAGAGAAAGUCACGAGCGGUCGCAUCAAGGACAUUCUCCCCUCAGGAUCUAUUGACAAUACCACUAAACUUGUUCUUGCCAAUGCCCUUUAUUUCAAAGGAGCUUGGACAGAGCAGUUUGAUUCAUAUGGAACAAAAAACGACUACUUCUACCUUCUUGAUGGGAGCUCAGUUCAAACACCAUUCAUGUCCAGCAUGGAUGACCAAUACCUUUUGUCUUCUGAUGGGUUGAAGGUACUUAAGCUUCCUUACAAGCAAGGUGGGGACAAUAGGCAGUUCUCCAUGUAUAUCCUUCUUCCAGAAGCACCGGGUGGUCUCUCAAGCUUGGCCGAAAAAUUGAGUGCUGAACCAGACUUCCUGGAGCGGCAUAUCCCAAGGCAGAGGGUUGCACUUAGGCAAUUCAAGCUCCCCAAGUUCAAGAUAUCAUUUGGAAUUGAAGCAUCCGAUUUGCUCAAAUGUUUGGGCCUCCAGCUUCCAUUCGGCGAUGAAGCGGAUUUUUCGGAGAUGGUGGAUUCCCUAAUGCCACAAGGUCUUCGUGUCUCAUAUGUUUUCCACCAAGCGUUUGUGGAAGUGAACGAACAAGGAACUGAGGCUGCAGCAUCAACUACUAUUAAAAUGGUCCCGCAACAGGCAAGGCCGCCCUCGGUCAUGGAUUUCAUCGCGGAUCACCCUUUCCUCUUCCUUCUCCGGGAAGACAUCUCUGGUGUGGUCCUAUUCAUGGGUCAUGUGGUCAAUCCCCUCUUAUCUUCGUAAUGUGUUUGCUCUGAAAGUGUGUGUUGUCAGUUGCCCUCAGCCAUUACAUGUAAGGGAAGGGUUUCGACGGUCAGUCAUGUUACCGAUACAAUAAAUCCAAUAAAUGGUUCUCCUAAGAUAUCCAAUAAAUUGUCUUUUAAUAACUGCUUGCUUGUUGUGCAAAGGAAAACCAAUUGGACUAUUUUUCAUUAAUCAUUGUGGAUUUGUGGUAGUGCGGAUUUCUCAAAGAACUACUCAUGCCAAAAGAAAAAAUCUAAGUCAUCUUGAUUAGUACUAUCCGACAUGAAUCUCAUCGUCAUUAACAUCUAUAUUUCACAAAAAAAUGCCAAUGGCCACUUUUUGAGAUUGAAUAUGCUCUUCAAUUUCUCUUCUUCUUAGAUUUUUCAUAUCCUCGCUUAUCUUUAGAUACACUAUAACUCCUUGAGAUUGGAGCUCCCAGGGCCGAUUGUGUUGAUCGAUUUACAUGGCCCCACAUGAACGGACGUGACCUUCCACGCUACCCUCUUCCUUGCCGCAGAUCCUUCCUCAGUUUCUCUCCCUUCCGAGAAUCUAUUCCGACAUAGAGACAACGCCUCCAGCACUAUAGUUGGUGCGGCCGACCGCUUUCUGGCUCUCCUCUCCGAUUCCCUGCCUCAGAGCAUCUACAGCCUCAAACACGGUGUGUCUGCGGGCACUGAUCGGUCACUUCACAAAUUGGCAUCUACAUUCGUGUAUUUCAUAUCAGAUCUCCUAUAUCCAUACUAAACUAUGUAGCAUUGAUCAAACUACGUAUAUCAUCAAACGGACAAAAAAUGCACUAUACGUUCAUCAAAAGAUCAUCAACGGAUCUUCGAAAUACCGCCAAAGUUCACAUAGUGCACAUAAAUGACGGACAACUUUAAACUACGUCUAAAAACUGAGCGGAUCUUCAUCACUUCCUCGCCGGAACUUUCCCUUUUCGGUCGCCAGCACAGCUGUAGGCGUCGGCGGCUGGUGGAGGAUCGUCCGAGUCGUCGGACGAGGCGCCGUGGUCGUCACUAUCGUCAGAGGAGGAGCAGAGGAUGAUGAGGCGUUUGAGGCGCCGGACGGCCCGGUCCUGCUGCCGUUUGAGCUCCGCCAGCCGAGCCGCCUCCAAUGCUUUCUCCUCUGCCUCGCGCUCGAACUGCUCGAUGGCAAGCCGGAGCACCUUGGCGUUCUUCCAGCGGAGCUGCCGAUCAUCCGUCUCCGCUGUCGUAAGCGACCGGCAGUAGACCCAAGUGGGGAACCGCUCGUCCCCGUCGAGCUCCGCCGGAAACCCGCGGCGGCGGCGGACAUAUUACUCCUCCGCGUCCCUCUCCCUUGCCCGCUGCCUGCGGUGGCGGGCGUCGGACAGAUUUCUCCGCCGCGUCCCUCUUCCUUGCUCGCUGCCUGUCGUGGCGGGCGGCGCGCGCCUAGCGUGCAUGCCGCGCUCGCUGGGCGGGCACAAGUACCCACCGCUACCCAUGUGGGGGAGCAGCAGCCGACGAGGACAGGGGAUAGUGUGGGGGAGGCGCGGACUGCGCAGCCCUCGUGGCGCUGCGUGUGGGCCGGGAGGGGCCUGCGCCGGCGUCCUCGCUGCGCUGGAAGGGGAGAGGUGAGGCGGCAGAUCCGGAACUGACCUCCGUGUCCACCUUGGACCUCUCGACGGCAAUGCGGAGAGCCAGCACCUCGUCGAUGUUGACGUCAGAGUCGGAGCGGCUGCCGGAACUAGACAUGGUCGCCGGAGUCGUUUGACUGAAUCGAAUCUGGGAAAUCCGAGGAGGAGAAGAGAUGAAACGAGAGCGGAGCGAGGUAGGGUUUUCGAUUGGGGAUAUUUGUGGUGACGGCGUGGGGCCGGUGUGGACCGGGCUACCAUGGCGGACGCACCCGGGGCGCUCGAUAUCCGCCCUAGAUUUGAUCUGAAUAUGAGGGGAGUGAGACAGUCCAAGCAUUUGAGGCUUGUUUGAGGACACGUCUGGAUCAAAUUUUCAUGCUCGGUCAAUGAUCGCGCCAUCCGUCCGGACGUUUGAGACGGAUUUAGAAUGCGCGCCUGUAGAUGCUCUCGGCCUCAAUCUUUCGCCUCCAAACGUUCCCCCGCGACCAACCCAAUCCAGGCCUCGUUCACCGUCUAGCAGUCGUCUGCGCCGCCUCCCGCAAUUCCUCCGACCUCCGGUGCAACACUUCAUGUAACUUCCCUGGAUCAUCGCGCUUCCCGCGCCGUCUCGUCGACAGUCGACGUGCGCUUCUCAUGUUCAAUUUUUCAAGGAUAGUGUCACCGCUUUUUUCUCAUAGUGUUUGGCUGCUCGAUCACCUGGCCGCUGUUAAUCUCAUCUCGGUGAUGCAGCAAACAAAGGAGAGUGCGGGUCUGCAGUUCAAGGUCAGACUGCAGUGCAACUGUGCAAUGUAAGUUUGACUGACACGCUUGGAUCUGCCGCGUCUUUGUGCUGGGUGCUAGUCGCUGCCCUGCUAGAUGCAUGGAAGAGUUGCAUGUAUACACACCGGUGUUGAGCGUUGGUGGCCUCAUUGGUGACUGUCGUGGUUCUAAGUCUGACAAUAGAAUGGGGGGUAAGUAUGGAAAGGCAAGGUCCUAGCUAUGGAGUAGUUGUACACACGGGUGUUUAGCGAGUUUAGACCCUUCUCUGAGGAAGUAACAGCCCUACGUCUCGGAGCCCGGAGGCGGUCGACUGAUCUCUAUGUAUAUGAGUUACAGAAGUGCGAACCUUUCUACCAGUGGAGGGGGGUGGCUUAUAUAGAGGACGCCAGGACCCCAGCCAGCCCACAUAGAGGAGGGUUAAAGUACAUUAAGGCUGGGCGUUACUGGUAACGCCCUAUAUAAAGUGUCAUCAUGACCAUUAAGACUAUUUAAUUACAGACCGUUUGGAUGCAGAGUAGAUCCUGAACUUCCGAUAGUCGAGUGCGUCUUCAUGGUCGAGUGUCUUCUAGCUAGUCGGGUGGAGUCUCCCUUGGUAGAGUGGAGCUUCUUUUGGUCGACCGGAAGGUAGCUUCGUAUGAUAAUGUCCUUUGGCAUGGUAUCCUAGAUAGGUCCAUGACCCUAACCUAGGUACAUAACCUCAUCAUUAGCCCCCGAAUGGAUCGAGGUUCGAGUGAGGAAGGAGUUGACGAUUUUCUCCGACUUAUUUACUGUACUUUGAUUGUGUCGUAUCUUGGAUCGGCGAUUCUUCUUUCGGCGCUGGCGUCGACUUUUACUUCAGUCGCCUUGAUCCAUUCUUAUCUUUUGUCGAGUGAACUUUUGAACUCCGGUGAACUUACGAGCGACGGAUCGCGGGAAGGAUAUCGUCUGACAGAUUGAUCUGCUGUUAGCGGAUUUUGCGGGAUCUGAAAUUUGGGAAGCGCACGAAGCGGGGCAAUCCGCGGCAAUCGGGCGGGAUAAGGCAUGGACGCCUUGAUUUCCGCGUCGCCUUUUUCGCCACGUAUCGUACGUGUGCGACUGUUUCGGGAUGUGACAGAUCUGCUCGGACCCACUCGUCAGCCACUCGGAAGCGCCCUUAUAUAAAGCGUCGGGGAAGAGUUUUUGAACAGUGCCUCCCCAUUCUCCUCUCUUCCCUCUCUGCCUCCGCCCACGGCGCCUGCUCCUAGCUCCGCCUUAUCCACCUCUCGAGCGCUUCGCCGACGAUAAUGGUGAAGGAGAAGACGGCGGUUCUAGAGCGCGCGAAGAAGGUGACGGCGACGGGGCAAGCGAAGGGGAGACCGUCCAGUCGGGGCGGAUCUUCGUCGAGGUCCCGCCUGCCGAAGGGUUGGGUCCAAGGGGAUUGGAUCCGCUCGACCAUCACUGGGAAGGACCUCGACGACCUGGCCAAUGAGGGACUGAUCCCCCACGGGUCAGCAAGGCCCCCGGGGUCCGAGUGUCAACCGCAGCCGCAGGAGGGUGAGCGCGUUCUCUUAGCCACUCACGUAGAUCGUGGUUUUUCUCUGCCGCCGAGUGUGUUCUUCCGUGGGUUUCUGAAAUUCUUUGGGGCGCAACUCCACCAUUUCAAUCCCAAUUCCAUCGCCUAUCUUGCUGCCUUUGUGUCCAUGUGCGAGAACUUCCUGGGUUGUCGACCGCACUGGGGUCUCUUCAAGCACAUAUUCACCUGUCGGUCGCAGACCGUAAAAAAGGCGAGCUCGGGUGAUGAGAGGACCAAGGUUAUUCAGAUGUGCGGGGGUCUUGGGAUUCAGUUGAGGAAUAAGAGCACUUUCCCGGCCAUGACCCUUCCUGAGUCGGUCAGAGGGUGGCAGUCGACUUGAUUCUACUGCCAAGACGAGUCGACGCCGGGGCAGUCGACUGGUCUCCCUCCGUUCUCCAUGGACCGAGUGGUCAAACCGUCUUCUCUGAAGGUGCUUCCUGAGGAGAAAGCCGAGGUAAAAAUGUUGGUGGAGCGCAUGGUCCAACUCGUUCGGGACGGAGUGACGGGCAUGGAUCUUCUGAAAGUAUUCCUUAGGCGGCGCAUCCAACCGCUCCAGUAUCGAGGCCACCCGAUGUGGUUGUACUGCGGUACCGAAGACACCACUCGGGUCCAUCCAGAGGCAGUCGACGACGCCACGCUGGAGAGGUGGGUGACCUCCAUCACAGGGAACAAGGACAACCGUCGAGGAGUGAGGAGGAUCCCGCCACUCGACUGUACCUAUACGCCGGACAAGGUAUGGCCGCUUAUCUCCGAGUGUAAUUUUGUUUUAUCCAUUCUGCUUUGCCACAAAUUGGUCGAUUGAUCUUUGUUUUGCUCUGUUGUCUGAUAGGCCACCACUGAAUUGUACUCGAUUCCCAAUGGGGCGCAGACGCCGACUGAGGAGGAGGAAGGAAGCGGGGGCGAAAGCCCGGAGGAGUGGGAUUCAGAUGUCGACGACGACGAUGAGGGUGAUGACUCUAGUGAGGAGGAAGAAGAGGAGGAAGAGGAGGAAGUUGCACCUCCCCGCUCGGAAAGACGCUCGAAGCUUGCCCAUGAUCCAGCGACUGAGCGGGGUAAGGGGGUCGCAACCGCUUCUCAGUCGACCAAGCGCCCUCGGACCACUUCUCCGGCGCCGACUGAGAAGGCUCCGAAGCAAUCUCGAGUGGCACCGUCGAAGCCUGCAAAGGUCUUGCCGAAGAUGAAGAUGGUGAUCCCCACUAUCUCAGGGUAAUGGUAGUUUUGAGCUUUCCCUGUUUCAUGAACUUGUUCUUGGUCGACUCAUGGUCCAAUCGACUGACUUUUGGAACUGCAGCGUUGCUACUUCCGACACUUCGGCGAGAGCCGAAGACCACGAGAUGGAGGAUGCUGCAACCUCGAACCCUGGUAUGACUCCUGCGUUGCCGUUUUCAGUCGACUGACUCAUUGUCUCUAAUUUUUAUUCUUUCUGCAGUUUCAUCUAACAUUGUUAUUGACCUUCCUGACGACGACGAUGAAUAACCACCACGGCCGAGGAAAAGCAAGAAAACGUCGGCUGGCAAGGCGACUCAGGAUGUGCCGGCACCCGAGACGUUAGUCGUGGAGGGAGACAAUGUCACUCGACCCACCGUAACCUUCGCGGUGCCGUUGAUGAGUGCUCGCCCUUCAUCGUCGAGUGCUGCUCAACCCUCGCUUUUCUCCACCUACCCCGUUCCAGAAGACCAAGCCAGUGCUGCCAAAGAAGCGAUACGCCAGGCGGGGGUCAUGAUGGAGCAAGUGAAGGCAAUUCGAGAAGCCAGCCAGGCAGCCUAUGACGCCAGUUCGGCACUCCAGAGUAAUGUUCAGGUCAGUCGGUCACUGCCUGUUCUUCUUUCUGAAAUUCCUAGAGUCUGUCCUACACCCAGUGGGUGUGUGUCGAUUAAAAUUCCGGGUUAGUGGGGGCACGCUGAGUGCACCCACUGGGUGUAGUCCCCAAGGCUAUGGUGGACUGCUGGCAGUCGACCAUAGUCUUAAUGCUUUGAGUUUUUCUUUACUCGACAAGGUCGAAUAGAUUCAUAGACCGGUGGGGGCACGCUGAGUGCACCCACUGGGUGUAGUCCCCGAGACUGUGGUCGACUGCUGGCAGUUGACUAUAGUCUAAAGAACAUUGCCUCUCUUUUUUUUGUUGGUCGACUAGUCGACUCUUGAUGAAACUAGUGGGGGCACGCUGAGUGCACCCACUGGGUGUAGUCCCCGAGACUAUGGUCGAAUGUUUGCAUUCGACCGUAGUCUUAGAAACGCUAUGAUUUUUCCUUACUCACUCGGAAGUGAAUUUUCUUUGACGUCUGUCGAUUGAUUCUUCGUAGAAAUCAUGUGACCUUGUGGCUCGUUAUACUGAGUUGGAGAACAAACACAUUCAGCUCGAGCUCGAUCUGAAACUGGCCCAAGAGACCUUGACGAAGGCGAAGGAGGAAGCUAAAGGUAUGCUUGGUGAGGCCUUUGACGACUGCCUUUGCCUCUCACUUGUUUCCGAAUCUGAUCUCACUGUAACUUUGUAGGCAAAGUGAUGGACGCCCUGAAGAAACAAGAGCUUGACUUGGCUGAGAUGCAAAAGACUGCUUUAGAGAAGACCAGGCUAGCGGAUGAGAAGCUGGCUUCAGUGACUAAGCUUGAAGAAGAAAACACCAAUCUGAAAGCUGCUCUUGAUGCUGCCAACCAGGAGGUCACUUAACUGAAAAGCGACAAGACCACCCUGAAUGACAAGGCCAGUGAGUUGAAGAGAAAGAAGAAUGAUCUAGAGGCUUAUCUGGGUGGACUCGCCAAGAAGUUGUUCCUCAUGCUUGAAGGUAAUCCUUUGUAUCGAACAAAUAUUUUAAUUGUAACCUCUGACUGUUUGUCUUGACUCGGUGGUUGUGCUUGCAGAAUUUUGUCAGAACUUUGAAGAGGAGACUGGUCGACUGGAAGUGAACCUGGACCCCAUCAACUCUCCUGUGAAAGAUGAAGUUGCCAUGAACAUGCUCCGACUUGAAUCUCGUGUUGCUGCUAUCAUCGAUUAUCUCGCAAGGCUGAAGGUCGCAACUUCCUGCAUCGACACAACACUCUGGCCAAGAGAGACACUCCAGAACGACCUCGAGUCUCUGAUGACUCGACUGAACGAGGUCCCAAGUCGAGUGCAGGAGUGGAAGAAGUCUUCGGCCAGGUGUGGCGCGGAUGUUGCUCUAUCUCUGGUCCGCGUUCACUGCAAGGAUGCAUGAGAGGACAAGCUGGUGGCUCUCAGGGUGGCCAACACCAAGAAGCACGAUUUCAGAUCCUUCAUGGAGACCUUCAUUGCCGCUGCCACUCGGAUUGCAGAUGGAAUCGAUCUGGACGAGUUUGUGGCACCUUCCAGCCCUCCACAGGAGGGGUAAAAAACUUUUGAGCUUGAUACUUUAAAUUUGCCUCGGUAUGCCGAGUGAGUUUUGUAACCGACAAACCUUAACAGGCCUAGCGCCUGAGCACUUUCGGUUCCGCUAGGUGUUAUCCAAACUUGGGUUCGUCGCUGAAUAUGUUUGCAUUUGGUUUGAGGCGUCUUUUGCAGGUUAAAGCGAAGCGCUUAUUGCCAUCGACUUGUCCCCCAAUUCACUUAGGCGGGCACUGGGCUGCAGCUAAGUCCCCGAGCGAGAGGUUUUCCCUCCACUCGGUAGGAUUUCAGACACUUAGGCGAGCACUGGGCCGCAGCUAAGCCCCCGAGUGGGAGGUCUGCUCUCCACUCGGUAGGAUUUCAGAAACUUAGGCGAGCACUGGGCUGCAGCUAAGCCCCCGAGUGGGAGGUCUGCUCUCCACUCAGUAGGAUUUCAAACACUUAGGCGAGCACUGGGCUGCAGCUAAGCCCCCGAGUGGGAGGUCUGCUCUCCACUCGGUAGGAUUUCAGACACUUAGGCGAGCACUGGGCUGCAGCUAAGCCCCCGAGUGGGAGGUCUACUCUCCACUCGGUAGGAUUUCAGACNNNNNNNNNNNNNNNNNNNNNNNNNNNNNNNNNNNNNNNNNNNNNNNNNNNNNNNNNNNNNNNNNNNNNNNNNNNNNNNNNNNNNNNNNNNNNNNNNNNNNNNNNNNNNNNNNNNNNNNNNNNNNNNNNNNNNNNNNNNNNNNNNNNNNNNNNNNNNNNNNNNNNNNNNNNNNNNNNNNNNNNNNNNNNNNNNNNNNNNNNNNNNNNNNNNNNNNNNNNNNNNNNNNNNNNNNNNNNNNNNNNNNNNNNNNNNNNNNNNNNNNNNNNNNNNNNNNNNNNNNNNNNNNNNNNNNNNNNNNNNNNNNNNNNNNNNNNNNNNNNNNNNNNNNNNNNNNNNNNNNNNNNNNNNNNNNNNNNNNNNNNNNNNNNNNNNNNNNNNNNNNNNNNNNNNNNNNNNNNNUAAGCCCCCGAGUGGGAGGUCUGCUCUCCACUCGGUAGGAUUUCAGACACUUAGGCGAGCACUGGGCUGCAGCUAAGCCCCCGAGUGGGAGGUCUGCUCUCCACUCGGUAGGAUUUCAGAAACUUAGGCGAGCACUGGGCUGCAGCUAAGCCCCCGAGUGGGAGGUCUGCUCUCCACUCGGUAGGAUUUCAAACACUUAGGCGAGCACUGGGCUGCAGCUAAGCCCCCGAGUGGGAGGUCUGCUCUCCACUCGGUAGGAUUUUUGAAUUGGUGGCGCAACUCGGAAGGAGAGGGUAGCAGUCGACCUGCACCUCGUCCUCCUUGCGGAACGCAUGUUGUACUUGUACUUAGGCGAGUUCUUGGACUGCAGCUAGGCCUCCGAGUGGAAGGCUGGCUUACCACUCGGUAGGAUUUUAUUUAUCUUAGGCGAGUACUUGGACUGCAGCUAAGCCUCCGAGUGGAAGGCUGGCUUACCACUCGGUAGGAUUUUAUUUAUCUUAGGCGAGUACUUGGACUGCAGCUAAGCCUCCGAGUGGAAGGCUGGCUUACCACUCGGUAGGAUUUUAUUUAUCUUAGGCGAGUACUUGGACUGCAGCUAAGCCUCCGAGUGGAAGGCUGGCUUACCACUCAGUAGGAUUUUAUUUAUCUUAGGCGAAACGGAUUUUACAGCUAAGCCUUCGUGUGGGAGACUGACUCACCACUCGGUUAGGAUUUGUUUUUACAGACUUAGGCGAAUCGGAUUCGCAGCUAAGCCACCCACUGGGGGAUUGUUUUAUAUGGACAAAAGUAAUAACAAUCACUGGGAAAACUAUAAAGCUCUUGUCUUUGAUAAAUAAACUACAGGAGUACUUUUAUUACAACUCAUCCGAGUGAAUACCUAAGUGUAAAAGGGGCGGAGAAGCUCCGCGUUCCAAGCUCGGGGCUCGUCAAUCUGAUGCUUGACAUUGUAAAGACGGUAUGCUCCAUUGUGGAGAACCUUGGUGACCAUGAAGGGACCUUCCCAAGAAGGAGCAAGCUUGUGUGGUUUCUGCUGGUCCACUCGGAGAACUAAAUCUCCUUCCUGGAAGGCUCGACUCUUCAUGUUUUUGGCGUGGAAGCGACGCAAGUCUUGUUGAUAAAUGGUCGAUCUGAUCAGAGCCAUCUCUCUUUCUUCCUCUAAAAGGUCGACUGCGUCCUGCCGCGCUUGUUCUGCUUCAGCUUCGGUGUAGAGCUCGACUCGGGGAGCGUUGUGGAGAAGAUCACUCGGCAAGACUGCUUCAGCUCCGUAGACCAAGAAGAAUGGAGUUCUUCCAGUCGACCGGUUGGGUGUGGUCCUUAACCCCCAAAGCACCGAGGGAAGUUCGUCAACCCAUGCACCAGCCGCAUGCUUGAGAUCACGCAUCAAACGGGGCUUCAACCCUUUGAGAAUUAAACCGUUGGCUCAUUCUGCCUGUCCAUUCGUCUGCGGAUGGGCAACUGAAGCAUAGUCGACUCGCGUGCCUUGAGACGUGCAGAAAGCUCUGAAUUCUUCAGAAUCGAAGUUUGACCCGUUAUCAGUGAUGAUGUUGUGCGGGACUCCAUAUCUAAAUAUCAGUUCUCGGAUGAAGCUGACAGCGGUACCAGCAUCGAGGUUCUUGAUGGGUUUGGCCUUAAUCCACUUGGUAAACUUGUCGACUGCUACCAGCACAUGUGUGAAACCGCUUCUUCCUGUUCUCAAUGGGCCAACCAUAUCCAAACCCCAUACAACAAAGGGCCAGACAAGUGGUAUGGUCUUUAAGGCUGAGGCAGGCUUGUGUGACAUAUUGGAGUAAAAUUGACAUCCCUCACACUUGUCGACUAUCUCCUUCGCCAUUUCAUUCGCUCUGGGCCAAUAAAAACCAGCUCGGUAUGCUUUGGCCACGAUGGUCCGAGAAGACGCAUGAUGGCCACAGGUCCCCGAGUGGAUGUCAUUGAGAAUCAUUCGACCUUCCUCCGGUGUUAUGCAUUUCUGGCUGACUCCAGUCGCACUUUCUCUGUACAACUGACCUCUCAUGACGGUGAAGGCUUUGGACCGGCGGACGAUCUCUCGAGCUUCUUCUUCAUUCUCGGGGAGUUCCUUCCUCAAAAUAUAGGCGAUGUAGGGCACUGUCCAAUCGGGAGUGAUGACCAAAACUUCCAUGAUCAAGUCGACCACCGCUGGGACCUCGACUUCAGUCGGAUCUGUGGCGCUUUUAGGCUGCGGGGCUUCUGCAGUGAAAGGAUCCUCUUGAACCGAUGGCGUGUAGACAUGUUCCAAAAACACGCCACUCGGAAUGGCUUCCCUCUUGGAACCUAUCUUUGCCAAGUCAUCGGCUGCUUGAUUUUUCAGUCGGGGAACGUGAUGGAGUUCUAACCCUUCGAAUUUCUUUUCAAGCUUCCUCACUGCAUUGCAGUAUCUAGUCAUGGAUGGGCUUCUCACGUCCCACUCCUUCAUCACCUGAUUGACCACCAAAUCUGAGUCGCCGUAAACCAUAAGGCGACGGACGCUGAGUGAAAUGUCCAUGCGCAACCCAUACAACAGUGCUUCAUAUUCUGCUUCAUUGUUGGAGGAAUCAAAGUGGAUCUGGAGCACAUAUCUGAGCUUAUCUCCUCGGGGAGAAACCAAAACUACCCCAGCACCAGAACCAUUUAACAUCUUAGAGCCAUCAAAGAACAUGGUCCAAUGCUCCGAGUGAACUUGAGUCGGCUGCUGCUGUUCAAUCCACUCGGCAAGGAAAUCUGCUAUAGCCUGGGACUUAAUGGCUUUCUUUGCCUCGAAUUUGAUAUCAAGGGGAAGGAGUUCAAUCGCCCAUUUAGCCACUCGACCAGUUGCAUCUCUGUUGUGCAGAAUCUCCGACAAUGGUGCGUCGCUGACGACUAUAAUGUCAUGAUCAGAGAAAUAAUGAGCAACCUUCUUCAUGGUCAUGUAGAUCCCAUAUACGAGCUUCUGAUAAUGAGGAUAUCUUUGCUUCGAUCGGGUCAAAACUUUAGAGAGAUAAUACACUGGGCGCUGAACUUUGAAGGCUUUCCCUUCUACUUCCCGCUCGACCGUAAGUAUUGUACUGACGACUUGUCCUGUGGCUGCAAUAUAAAGCAACAGUGGCUCUUUACUGAUUGGAGCGGCAAGCACCGGCUAGGUGGAGAGCAGAGUUUUUAACUCGGCAAACGCUGCAUCAGCUUUUGGAGUCCACUCGAACUUGUCUGCCUUCUUCAUCAGUCGGUAAAGGGGCAACGCCUUUUCACCGAGGCGAGAGAUGAAUCGACUUAACGCGGCCAGGCAUCCAGUAAGCUUCUGGACAUCGUGCACACGCACAGGGCGUUUCAUUCGGAGUAUGGUGCCAACUUUUUCUGGGUUAGCAUCGAUUCCUCGUUCCGAAACGAGAAAACCGAGUAACUUCCCACCAGGUACUCCGAAUGUGCACUUUGAAGGAUUGAGCUUGAUAUCAUACCUCCUGAGAUUGGCAAAUGUUUCAGCUAAGUUAGUCAACAGGUCGGAACCCUUUCGCGACUUGACCACGAUAUCAUCCAUGUAUGCUUCCACAUUCCAACUAAUUUGAGUGAGUAAACACUUUUGAAUCAUUCUCAUGAAUGUGGCUCCGGCAUUCUUGAGGCCGAAAGGCAUGGUGAUAUAGCAGAAGCACCCGAAUGGGGUGAUGAAAGCUGUUUUGAUUUCAUCGGGCCCAUACAGACGGAUCUGAUGAUACCCGGAAUAAGCGUCCAGAAAAGACAAUCUCUCGCACCCUGCGGUCGAGUCGACAAUUUGGUCGACGCGAGGGAGAGGAAAAUGAUCUUUCGGGUAGGCCUGAUUGAUAUGUUUGAAAUCAAUGCACAUACGAAGGGAAUUGUCCUUUUUGCGAACCAUAACGACAUUGGCGAGCCACUCGGAGUGGUAUAUCUCUCGGAUGAACUCUGCUGCAAGGAGUCGAGCCACCUCUUCGCCAAUGGCUUUUUUGUUCUGAACAGCGGACCGUCGAAGAUGUUCUUUAACGAGUUUUGCCUUUGAAUCGACUCUAAGGCGAUGCUCAGCCAGUCCCCUGGGAACACCUGGCAUGUCAGCUGGCUUCCAUGCGAAGAUGUCCCAGUUCUCACGGAGGAACUGGAUGAGCGCUUCUUCCUAUUUAGAGUCGGGUGUAGUGGAAAUAUGGGUCGGAGCUGCAUUGGGGUCAGUCGGGUGGAUGUGAACUGGCUUCGUCUCACCGGACGACUGAAAUGCUGACUCUGUGGCGGGCUUCUUGGCUCGCAGUAAAUCACUCGGAUCUGCGUUCUUCUUGUACCCCUCUAGCUCUAUCACUGUUAUCUGGUCAUCCGCAAUCUUUGAGCCUUUCUGGAAACACUCUUCUGCUUUCUUCCGGUUACCAGUGACGGUGAUCACGCCUUUGGGGCCAGGCAUCUUUAACUUGAGGUACACGUAACAUGGUCGAUCCAUGAAGCGGGCGUAGGCUGGUCUUCCCAAGAUAGUGUGGUAGGCGCUCUGGAAAUCCACGAUUUCAAAUGUCAGCUUCUCUUUGCGGAAAUGCUUCGAGUCACCGAACACCACAUCCAGAGCUAUUUGGCCGAGUGACUCAGCCUUCUUUCCUGGGAUGACUCCGUGAAAACUCAUGUUGCUGGAACUGAGCCUGGACAUCGGAAUGCCCAUUCCCUUGAGCGUCUCUGCAUAUAGUAUGUUCAACCCGCUGCCGCCAUUCAUCAAUACCUUCGUCAGUCGAGUGCCUUCGACGACCGGGUCGGCCACCAGUGCUUGCCUCCCAGGGGUGGCAAUAUGAGUAGGAUGGUCCGACUGGUCGAAAGUAAUGGGAGUUUGCGACCAUCUCAGAUAGUUUGGUGUUGCUGGUGCGACCAUAUUGACUUCACGGUUGAUCACUUUCAGUCGACUUUUGCUCUCUACAUCAGCAAAAAUCAUCAGAGUGAAGUUGACAUGAGGGUACUCACCAUCACUGUCCUGCUUGUCCUCAGCCUUGUCUGACUCCUUCUCUUUGUCCUUCAGCUGUUUCCCUUGGAACUGCUGGAUUAAGAGCCGGCACUGGCGAGUGGUAUGCUUUGGGUAGAUGAAGUUACCCUCUUCGUCUUUCUUCGUGUGGAUAUGACACGGCAGGUCCAUCACAUCAUUACCCUCCUUAUCUUUUACCUUCUUGGGGUUCCAAGAUCCUUUGGGCUUCCCUUUAAAUUUGCCCUGUGUCACGGCUAGAGCCUCUCCAGGAGCUGCUGGCUCGGCCUUCCGCUUCUGCUUCCGACUGGAGUUUCCUUUAUCCGACUAACUCGGCUUGUACUUGCCGCUCCGGAGUCGGUCCUCUUCUUCGCCGUUGGCGUACUUGGUGGCUAUUUCCAUCAUCCGACUCAGGGUCAUGUCUCCAGUUCGACCAAACUUCAGGCUCAACUCUUUGUUCUUGACGCCAUCUUUGAAGGCGCAAACCGCUUGAUGGUCCGACACAUUCUCUACAGUGUGAUGCAAAGUGAUCCACCUCUGGAUGUAAUCCCUCAGUGUUUCACUCGACUUUUGUACACAAACUUGUAGCUCAGUUAAUCCAGCAGGUCGCUUGCAAGUUCCCUCAAACGUCCUGACGAACACUCGAGAAAGAUCUACCCAGGUGUAAAUGUUGCUGGGAGCUAACUGAUUCAACCAUGCCCUGGCUGAACCUCCUAGAAUAAGUGGCAAAUGUUUCAUGGCCACCUCAUCAUUACCGCCACCAAUCUGAACAGCCACUCGGUAGUCUUCGAGCCAAGUUUCAGGCUUAGACUCUCCGGUGAACUUAUUCACCCCAUUCGCCAACCUGAAGUUGGGGGGUAUCACUGCGGUUCUGAUCGCUCUGCGAAAACAUUCUGGACCUGAAACAUGGACUCGGCUGCUUGUGGGCACAUCUCUGUCAUGACCACCUCUAUGAGCUCUGUUUCAGUCGACCAAACCUUGCACGAUGAUGGAUCUCGCGUCAAAGCCUGGCUCUCUGGGGUCGACUGGAGCUCUCUGCCCAACACUGAGCUGGCUUCUAUCAUCUUGCUGCCGAUGGGCGUUAGACCCACUUCUCGGAGGAGGAGUGGGCACUCGACGCCUGUCAUCACGAUCAAAUCGAUCAUCAUAGUGGUCCCGCCGGCCUUCACGUCCCACGCGCCUCGGAGGCGACCUUGGACUGUCAGCUGACUGAAUAGUAUUCGCAGCAACAGAUCGACUGUGAAUCCUGUUAGGUGACUGUGACACAGCUGAAUUCUGAUCUCCUGCUGCCCGGAGCAAAUCUCUGAUCUGCAUCAAGCCUCUUCCAGCCUCUGACUGAGAGGGCUGAAUUGACUCUGCUAUGCGGGCUGCAGCUGCCAAAUUCUGAAUUGGGGUUCGAUAUACCUGAGUUGGUUGCGGAAAGAGCUGACGUCGAUUGGAGUUAGUCGCUCGUUGACGCGCAUGCUCGUCGAGUGCUCGCUGAAGGUUCUCCAGUCGAGUGUGUUCAGCCAGGUUGGCUAAACGCGCCUCUUCCAGGGCACGAGCCUCAGGAGUUUCUCCUGCAAUGGGAGUAUGCAGGGCAUCCAUGUUCUGGCGGCGAAGUUCUUCCCUCUGCUGGGAAGUGAGCGGCUCGGGUUGGUACUCUUCAUGGGCUUGAGCAGGGUCAUCCUCGUCGUCCAUCCCGUCGCCACGGGGGAAACCGGGAGGACUACGGGGCCCAUUGACCAUCAGGACCUCCGCCGUCGGAUCACUGCUAUCGCACUCGGAUGCAGCCUCUACAGAGCCAGUCGACAGGUCGAAUAGGCCGUAGAGAGAUCCGUCAGGCUCAAUCGCCGCGACUUGGGUGGUGGCCGAUUGGCGAGCCACUGCGUGUCUCACCCAUCGCUGGAGCCUCAACCGACCGGAGCGCUUGCGCUGGCGGGAGACAGGGAGGGAGGACGGCGCAGGAGUCGACCGGUAUGGGGUCGACGGCUGCCGCAGCAAGACGCUGCGGACACACACCCGAAAGUGCAUCGCCCCGCGGACGGGGAGCGCUCCGAUGUCGAGUGGUGCCUCCUGGAGCCAAGCGGAGUCGUCGGCGAUGAAAGUGAGCGCACCGAGACGGAUCUCGUGGCCCUCGACCAGAGCUCUGCCAGAAACCAUGAUGAAGGCGAUCGGACAAAUUGCAACUUCUCCAAAAAAGUCGCUAAGACACCUGCCCCACGGUGGGCGCCAACUGUCGUGGUUCUAAGUCUGACAGUAGAAUGGGGGGUAAGUAUGGAAAGGCAAGGUCCUAGCUAUGGAGUAGUUGUACACACGGGUGUUUAGCGAGUUCAGGCCCUUCUCUGAGGAAGUAACAGCCCUACGUCUCGGAGCCCGGAGGCGGUCGACUGAUCUCUGUGUAUAUGAGUUACAGGGGUGCGAAACUUUCUACCAGUGGAGGGGGGUGGCUUAUAUAGAGGACGCCAGGACCCCAGCCAGCCCACGUAGGGGGGGUAAAAGUACAUUAAGGCUGGGCGUUAUUGGUAACGCCCUACAUAAAGUGUCAUCAUGACCAUUAAGACUAUUUAAUUACAAACCGUUUGGAUGCAGAGUAGAUCCUGAACUUCCGAUAGUCGAGUGCGUCUUCAUGGUCGAGUGUCUUCUAGCCGGUCGAGUGGAGUCUCCCUUGGUCGAGUGGAGCUUCUUUUGGUCGACUGGAAGGUAGCUUCAUAUGAUAAUGUCCUUGGGCAUGGUAUCCUAGAUAGGUCCAUGACCCUACCCUAGGUACAUAACCUCAUCAGUGACCCCGUGGACGAAAAAGGUCUGAACAUUUUUCUGAUUUGCACACACCCUGUCGAUCCUGGACACACCAGAAAAGGCCAAUCUUUUUUAUUUAGCUGCCUAUGUUUUUACACAAAACUAUGAAGAACAUAGAGGGCAGCUUUGGGUCACGGAAAAAACUUAUACUGUGUGCAAAAGAAAUCAUGAUUUCAGCAGCACUGAAUAUGUACAGCAAAGGUCGAAACAAUUUAUCAAAAAAUGUGUCUGUGUUUCAUUCUUCCGCAAUACAAUAAGAAGUCCACCACUAAAGCUUUUUCCUCCUCCACAAGUAAAGUCCCUUAUCCUCCGGUCGGCGUCGCCGUCGGUCCGCCCCAUCUCUGAUGGCCUCUGGGCCAUGGAGUCGCCGAGGAUCCCAGCCCUUGUUCUCCUCCUUGUUAGAUUUAGCGUCUUGGUUGGGGUUGGGUGGAGGCGGCGAUGUCCCUUAAUAGGAAUAAUGUAUGAUUGGUUAUCUUUGUAAGUAUCUUCGAGUUAUCAGUUUGGUUUGGCCUACUAGAUUUAUCUUUCUUGCAAUGUUAGAAGUGCUUAGCUUUGGGUUCAAUCUUGCGGUGUCCUUUCCCAGUGACAGCAGGGGCAGCAAGGCACGUAUUGUAUUGUUGUCAUCGAGGAUAAAAAGAUGGGGUUUAUAUCAUAUUGCUUGAGUUUAUCCCUCUACAUCAUGUCAUCUUGCCUAAUGUGUUACUUUGUUCUUAUGAAUUUAAUACUCUAUAUGCAAGCUGGAUAGCGGUCAAUGUGUGGAGUAAUAGUAGUAAAUGCAGGCACGAGUCGGUCUACUUGUCGUGGACGUGAUGCCUUGAUACGUCUCCAACGUAUCUAUAAUUUUUUAUUGUUCCAUGCUAUUAUAUUACCCGUUUUGGAUGUUUAUGGACUUUACUUUACACUUUUAUAUUAUUUUUGGGACUAACCUACUAACCGGAGACCCAACCCGUAUUGCUGUUUUUUUUGCCUAUUUCAGUGUUUUGAAGAAAAGGAAUAUCAAACAGAGUCCAAACGGAAUGAAACCUUCAGGAGCGUGAGUUUUGGAACAAACGUGAUCCAAGGGACUUGGAGUGCAAGUCAAGAAGCAAUCGAGGCGGCCACCAGGGUGGAGGGCGCCCCCUAUCUCGUGGGCCCCUCGGGCGUCCACCGACCUACUUCUUCCUCCUAUAUAUACCCACGUACCACGAGAACAUCAAAGGCGACCACGAAAAACUAUUUCCACCACCGUAACCUUCUGUAUUCACGAGAUCCCAUCUUGGAGCCUUCGUCAUUGCUCCAUCGGAGAGGGAAUCAACCAUGGAGGGCUUCUACAUCAACACCAUAGCCUCUCCAAUUAGUUGUGAGUAGUUUACCACAGACCUUCGGGUCCAUAGUUAUUAGCUAGAUGGCUUCUUCUCUCUCUUUGAAUCUCAAUAUCAUGUUCUCCUCGAUCUUCUUGGAGAUCUAUACGGUGUAACUCUUUUUGCGAUGUGUUUGUCUCGAUCCGAUGAAUUGUGGGUUUAUGAUCAAGUUUAUCUAUGAGAAAUAUUUGAAUCUCCUCUGAAUUCUUUUAUGUGUGAUUAAGUUAUCUUUGCAAGUCUCUUCAAAUUAUCAGUUUGGUUUGGCCUACUAGAUUGAUCUUUCUUGCAAUGGGAGAAGUUCUUAGCUUUGGGUUCAAUCUUGCGGUGUCCUUUCCCAGUGACAGCAGGGGCAGCAAGGCAUGUAUUGUAUUGUUGUCAUCGAGGAUAAAAAGAUGGGGUUCAUAUCAUAUUGCAUGAGUUUAUCCCUCUACAUCAUGUCAUCUUUCUUAAUGCGUUACUCUGUUAUUUAUGAACUUAAUACUCUAGAUGCAUGCUGGAUAGCGGUCGAUGUGUGGAGUAAUAGUAGUAGAUGCAGGCAGGAGUCGGUCUACUUGUUAUGGACGUGAUGCCUAUAUACAUGAUCAUGCCUAGAUAAUCUCAUAAUUAUUUGCUUUUCUAUCAAUUGCUCGACAGUAAUUUGUUCACCCACCGUAAUACUUAUGCUAUCUUGAGAGAAGCCACUAGUGAAACCUAUGGCCCCCGGGUCUAUCUUUUAUCAUAUAAGCUUUCAAUCUACUUUUAUUUGCAUCUUUACUUUUCCAAUCUAUAUUAUAAAAUACCAAAAAUAUAUUUAUCUUAUCAUACUAUCUCUAUCAGAUCUCACUUUCGUAAGUGGCCGUGAAGGGAUUGACAACCCCGUUAUUGCGUUGGUUGCGAGUUCUUGUUUGUUUGUGUAGGUGCGUCGGACUUUUGAGGAGCCUCCUACUGGAUUGAUACCUUGGUUCUCAAAAACUGAGGGAAAUACUUACGCUACUAUUGUUGCAUCACCCUUUCCUCUUCAAAGAAAACCAACGCAAGCUCAAGACGUAGCAUGCCUAUAUACAUGAUCAUGCCUAGAUAUUCUCAUAACUAUGCACUUUUCUAUCAACUGCUCGACAGUAAUUUGUUCACCCGCCGUAAUAUUUAUGCUAUCUUGAGAGAAGCCACUAGUGAAACCUAUGGCCCCGGGUCUAUUUUCCAUCAUAUAAGUUUCCGAUCUACUUUAUUUAGCAAUCUUUACUUUUCAAUCUAUAUCAUAAAAAUACCAAAAAUAUUUAUCUUAUUAUUAUCUCUAUCAUAUCUCACUUUCGCAAGUGGCCGUGAAAAGAUUGACAACCCCUUUAUCGCGUUGGUUGCGAGGUUCUUGUUUGUUUAUGUAGGUACGAGGGACUUGCGUGUAGCCUCCUACUGGAUUGAUACCUUGGUUUUCAAAAGUUGAGGGAAAUACUUACGCUACUUUGCUGCAUCACCCUUUCCCGCUUCAAGGGAAAACCAACGCAGUGCUCAAGAGGUAGCAAGAAGGAUUUCUGGCGCCGUUGCCGGGGAGGUCUACGCACAAGUCAAGACAUACCAAGUACCCAUCACAAACUCUUCUCCUCGCAUUACAUUAUUUUCCAUUUGCCUCUUGUUUUCCUUUCCCCCACUUCACCCUUGCCGUUUUAUUCGCGCUCCCUUUCCCGUUCGCCUCUUUUUCCGCUUGCUUCUUGUGGUACUUGCUUUCACUAUGUCUGAAACUGGGGAGGUUAUCAUUGAUAAGGACAAUAGUAAUAACAUGGGAAACUUUGAUGCUUUUGAUGAUCCUACUGAAGAAACCACUAUCUUACAUACUAAAAGAUUUCGAAUCGGUAGUGGUAAUAUUAUUGGAAAAGGGGUUAUUCAAGAUUCUUUACUUGUGUUGGUGCUUUACCUUCUAUGGGUGGAUCUAUUCUUCAUAGAACUAGUAGUCUUGCGGAUGCUAUAUCCUUGCUUAUAGUUGAACUUGAAAGACAGUUUAUGCAUAUGCAUCCUUGCAUACAAAGGAUUUUUCUAGAAUUUUCCAAUAUUGAGCAUUCUUCUGUUAAGCGCGCAGCUACUAUCUUUUUGGCACAUGAGUUCAGAUUUAUAAUAAAAGAAGCCAGAGAAAUCUUUGCGCACUAUAGGGUGGACGCUGGUCGCCCUCCCAUUUAGGCGAUCCUUUUUAAUCAAGAAGACAUAAUGCGUUUACAAUCCUUAGAUCGUGUUGCUUUUAAUGAAAACCUUAGGAAAAAGGUUCCUACCGAUGUUCUAGUUGAUAGAAUCUCUGAACUUAAUGAUGAUUUUGCUAUUCAUAACAAUGGGUUGGGAUUUUCUCUUGAGCAAAGGCUCAUGACUUUUUGCCAAAAGAAUGCUUAUAAUGAUGAAUUGGUUGUGUAAUAUGAAGGGCCAAAGGAGGAACCCAUACCUCCCGAGCUUGAUCUUGGGGACUUUUGUCCCAUUAAAUUUAGCCCUUUUGAUUACUUUUGCUUGCCACAAAGAAAACUUGUUGUUGAACGUAGGGAAUAUGAGAUGAGUUUUCGUGAUUUACCUUAUCAUUACGGCAAUAAUUAGAUCUAUUCUCGCUUUUAUGCCUAGCUAGGGGCGUUAAACGAUAGCGCUUGUUGGGAGGCAACCCAAUUUUAUUUUUGUUCUUUACUUUUUGCUCCUGUUUAGUAUUAAAUAAUUCAUCUAGCCUCUGGUUAGAUGUGGUUUUAUGUUUUAGUUAGUGUUUGUGCCAAAUAGAACCUAUAGGAUCAUCUUGGGUGAUAGUUAAUUUGAUCUUGCUAAAAAACAGAAACUUUUGCGCACACGAGAAUAAUUUUAAUAAAUCACAGAAACAUGAUUUUGAGUUGAUUAUUUUUUAAGAAGAUUAAUAGACAAAUUUACUAGGACUUCCUAUUUUCGUAGGACUUUUAAGGUUCUAGAAGUAUUCGAAAGUUACAGAUUACUACAGACUGUUCUGUUUUUGACAGAUUCUGUUUUUUGUGUGUUGUUUGCUUAUUUUGAUGAAUCUAUGGCUAGUAUCGGGGGGUAUGAACCAUAGAUAAGUUGGAAUACUGCAGGUUUAACACCAAUAUAAAUAAAGAAUGAUUUCAUUACAGUACCUUAAAGUGGUGGUUUGCUUUUUUGCACUAACGGAGCUCAUGAGAUUUUUUGUUGAGUUUUGUGUUGUGAAGUUUUCAAGUUUUGGGUAAAGAUUUGAUGGAUUAUGGAAUAAGGAGUGGCAAGAGCCUAAGCUUGGGUAUGCUCAAGGCACCCCAAGAUAAAUUCAAGGACAACCAAAAGCCUAAGCUUGGGGAUGCCCCGGAAGGCAUCCCCUUGUCUUCAUCUAUCAGUAACUUUACUUGGAGCUAUAUUUUUAUUCACCACAUGAUAUGUGUUUUGCUUGGAGCGUCUUGAAUGAUAUGAGUCUUUGAUUUUUAGUUUACCACAAUCAUCCUUGCUGUACACACAUUUUGGGAGAGACACACAUGAAUCGGAAUUUAUUAGAAUACUCUAUGUGCUUCACUUAUAUCUUUUGAGCUAGAUAAUUUUGCUCUAGUGCUUCACUUAUAUCUUUUUAGAGCACGGCGGUGGUUUUAUUUUGUAGAAAUUAUUGAUCUCUCAUGCUUCACUUAUAUUAUUUUGAGAGUCUUUUAGAACAGCAUGGUAUUUGCUUUGGUUAUAAAAUUAGUCCUAAUAUGAUGGGCAUCCAAGUUGGGUAUAAUAAAAAUUGUCAUAGAAAGUGCAUGAAACACUAUAAGAAAUUUGAUACUUGAUAAUUGUUUUGAGAUAUAAAGGUGGUAAUGUUAGAGUCAUGCUAGUUGGGUAAUUAUGAAAUUGAGAAAUACUUGUGUUAAAGUUGGCAAGUCCCGUAGCAUGCACGUAUGGUAAACGUUGUGUGACAAAUGUGUUGCACGGGGUGUUCUUUUGAUUGCCUUCCUUAUGUGUGGAGGUCGGGAUCGCGCGAUGGUUAACUCCUACCAACCCUUCCCCUAGGAGCAUGCGUAGUAGUACUUUGCUUCGAGGGCUAAUAAACUUUUGCAAUAAGUAUAUGAGUUCUUUAUGACUAAUGUGAGCCCAUGGAUUAUACGCACUCUCACCCUUCCACCAUUGCUAGCCUCUCUUGUGCCGCGCAACUUUCGCCAGUAUCAUACACCCACCAUUUACCUUCCUCAAAACAGCCACCAUACCUACCUAUUAUGGAAUUUCUAUAGCCAUUCCAAGAUAUAUUGCCAUGCAACUCUCCACCGUUCCGUUUAUUAUGACACGCUCCAUCAUUGUCAUAUUGCUUUUGCAUGAUCAUGUAGUUGACAUCGUAUUUGUGGCAAAGCUACCGUUAUAAUUCUUUCAUACAUGUCACUCUUGAUUCAUUGCAUAUCCUGGUACACCGCUGGAGGCAUUCACAUAGAGUCAUAUUUUGUUCUAAGUAUUGACUUGUAAUUCUUGAGUUGUAAAUCAAUAAAAGUGUGAUGAUCUUCAUUAUUAGAGCAUUGUCCCAAGUGAGGAAAGGAUGAUGGAGACUAUGAUUCCCCCACAAGUCACUAUGAGACUCCGGACCUCAUGAUAAAUAAAAGAGGCCAAAGAAGCCCAAAUAAAAAAGAGAGGCCAAAGAAGCCCACCCAAAAAAAUGAGAGAAAAAGAGAGAAGGGACAUUGUUACUAUGCUUUUUCCAGACUUGUGCUUCAAAGUAGCACCAUGAUCCUCAUGGUAGAGUCUCCUAUGUUGUCACUUUCAUAUACUUGUGGGAAUUUUUCAUUAUAGAACUUGGCUUGUAUAUUACAAUGAUGGGCUUCCUCAAAAUGCCCUAGGUCUUUGUGAGUAAGCGAGUUGGAUGCACACCCACUUAGUUUCUUUUGUUGAGCUUUCACACAUUUAUAGCUCUAGUGCAUCUGUUGCAUGGCAAUCCCUACUCACUCACGUUGAUAUCUAUUAAUGGGCAUCUCCAUAGGCCGUUGAUACGCCUAGUCAAUGUGAGACUUUCUCCUUUUUUGUCUUCUCCACACAACCUCCAUCAUCAUAUUCUAUUCCACCCAUAGUGCUAUAUCCAUGGCUUACGCUCAUGUAUUGCGUGAGAGUUGAAAACGCUGAAGCGCGUUAAAAAGUAUGAACCAAUUGCUUGGCUGAAACCGGGGUUAUGCAUGAUGGGAGUAUUUUGUGUGACAAAAAUGAAGCAUAGCCUAACUAUAUGAUUUUGUAGGGAUAAGCUUUCUUUGGCUACAUUAUUUUGAUAAGACAUGAUUACUUGUUAGUAUGCUUAAAGUAUUACUAUUUUUAUGUUAAUAUGAACUUUUAUUUUGAAUCAUUUGGAUCUGAACAUUCAUGCCACAAUAAAGAAAAUUACAUUGAGAAAUAUGCUAGGUAGCAUUCCACAUCAAAAAUUCUGUUUUUAUCAUUUACCUACUCGAGGACGAGCAGGAAUUAAGCUUGGGGAUGCUUGAUACGUCUCCAAGGUAUCUAUAAUUUUUUAUUGUUCCAUGCUAUAUAUUACCCGUUUUGGAUAUUUAUGGGUUUUACUAUACACUUGUAUAUCAUUUUUUGGACUAACCUAUUAACCGGAGGCCCAGCCCAAAUUGUUGUUUUUGCCUAUUUCAGUGUUUCGCAGAAAAGGAAUAUCAAACGGAGUCCAAACGGAAUGAAACCUUCGGGAGAGUUAUUUUUAAAACAAACGCAAUCCAGGAGACUUGGAGUGGAUGUCAAGAAAAAAACAAGGCGGCCAUGAGGCAGGGAGGCGCGCCCUAGGGGGGUGGGCGCGCCCCCCACCCUCGUGGGCCCCUCGUGGCUCCUCUGACCGACUUUCUUCGCCUAUAUAUAUCUACAUACCCUGAAAACAUCCAGGAGCACCACGAAACCCUAUUUCCACAACCGCAACCUUCUGUACCCGUGAGAUCCCAUCUUGGAGCUUUUUCCGGCGCUCCGCCGGAGGGGGAAUCGAUCACGGGGGGCUUCUACAUCAACACCAUAGCCUCUCCGAUGAGUUGUGAGUAGUUUAUCACAGACCUUCGGGUCCAUAGUUAUUAGCUAGAUGGCUUCUUCUCUCUCUUGAAUCUCAAUACAAAGUUCUCCUCGAUCUUCUUGGAGAUCUAUUCGAUGUAAUUCUUUUUGCGAUGUGUUUGUGGAGAUCCAUGAAUUGUGGGUUUAUGAUCAAGUUUAUCCAUGAGAAAUAUUUGAAUCUCCUCUAAAUUCUUUUAUAUAUGAUUGGUUAUCUUUGCAAGUCUCUUCGAAUUAUCAGUUUGCUUUGGCCUACUAGAUUUAUCUUUUUUGCAAUGGGAGAAGUGCUUAGCUUUGGGUUCAAUCUUGCGGUGUCCUUUCCCAGUGACAGCAGGGGCAGCAAGGCACGUAUUGUAUUGUUGCCAUCGAGGAUAAAAAGAUGGGGUUUAUAUCAUAUUGCUUGAGUUUAUCCCUCUACAUUAUGUCAUCUUGCCUAAUGCGUUACUUUGUUCUUAUGAACUUAAUACUCUAGAUGCAUGCUGGAUAGCGGUCGAUAUGUGGAGUAAUAGUAGUAGAUGCAGGCAGCAAUCGGUCUACUUGUCGCGGACGUGAUGCCUAUAUACAUGAUCAUGCCUAGAUAUUCUCAUAACUAUGCACUUUUCUAUCAAUUGCUCGACAGUAAUUUGUUCACCACCGUAAUACGUAUGCUAUCUUGAGAGAAGCCACUAGUGAAACCUCUGGCCCACGGGUCUAUCUUUUAUCAUAUAAGCUUUCAAUCUACUUUUAUUUGCAUCUUUACUUUUCCAAUCUAUAUUAUAAAAAACCAAAAAUAUAUUUAUCUUAUCAUACUAUCUCUAUCAGAUCUCACUUUCGCAAGUGGCCGUGAAGGGAUUGACAACCCCUUUAGCGCAUUGGUUGCGAGGUUCUUGUUUGUUUGUGUAGGUACGAGGGACUUGCGCGUAGCCUCCUACUGGAUUAAUACCUUGGUUCUCAAAAGCUGAGGGAAAACUUACGCUACUUUGCUGCAUCACCCUUUCCUCUUCAAGGGAAAACCAACACAGGGCUCAAGUGGUAGCAAUGGGUUUUCCACUGAAUCUCACAUUCCAGGAUCCUAGCAUUUAUAGCAUGAAAUAUAAACUCUUAAUAAUGAACCUGGAAAUAUAAUAAUAUUAUAUUAUUGCCUCUAGGGCAUAUUUCCAAUAGUAUUCAACUUGCACUGAAGUCAAUAAUCUAGUUAGCACAUUUUUAUUUACACCAAUGGCAGUCUGGUGUUUGUCCAUACUCAGCUUGUGGUAUAGCCUUCAUCCCAUUGGAUCUUGAAAACUUCAUAUCCACGUGUAUCAUAUGCAUUUCAAUGCCUCUAUCAUGAUGGCUUUGUAUGUAUUGAAUCACUAGAAGGACCUAUGAUUCCUUGGACUGAGCUAUAGAACCACUAUUAAGUAUAGUGUUUCAUUGGCACAAUCAUCUAGAAAUCAUAACAAUCUCAUAAAUGAAAGUGUUAUUGAUCACUCUCCAUUGUUGCUUCUAAAGCAACAAUCUACUCAGCCCUCUGUUAUAGAUUUCACCACAGUAACCAACAACCCAACAAACACACUGCAAAAAACAUUACAUCGGAUAGAACUCCAAGAAGAUCGAGGAGAACAUUGUAUUGAAGAUCAAAGAGAGAAGAAGCCACUAGCUACUAGCUAUGGACUCGUAGGUCUGCGGUGAAUUGCUCACACAUCAUCGGAAGGCGGCACGGAUGAUGCAGAAGCCCUCAGUGAUCGAUUCCCCCUCCGGCGGAGUACCGGUAAAGCCCUCCAGAUGGAAUCGCGGAAGAAUAGAAGCUUGUGGUGGUGGAAAAAGUGUUUCGGAUGGCUCUCUGUUGGUUUGGGAAUAUUUGUGAAUUUAUAGGCUUGGAAUUAGGUCAAACGGAGUUGCGUGGGCCCAUAAGCUCAGGGGGCGCACUUUGUGAGCUCGUGGCUCUCUUGUAGCUCUUCUGGCCUCCUCCCGAACCUUCUAGGACCCCUUCUGGUCCAGAGAAAAUAACCAUAAUUCAUCGUAUUUGGACUUCGUUUGGUAUUGUUUUUCUGAAAAGCCAAAACAAGUAAAAAAUAGGAACUAGCACUGGGCAAUGGGUUAAUAGGUUAGUCCCAAAAGUGGUAUAAAAUAGCAUAAAAAUGCAUAUAAUCCAGGAUUGAUAAUAUAAUAGCAUGAAACAAUCAAAAGUUAUAGAUAUAUUGGAGACGUAUCAGCAUUCCCAAGCUUAAUUCCUGCUCGUCCUUGAGUAGGUAAAUGAGAAUAACAGAAUUUUUGUGUAUACAUGUAUUAUUUGUAGUGAGAUAUGUACAUGACAAAGAGCGAUACUACUGCCAGGAUCAGACCAAUGUACAUGACAUAAGAAAGAGGUGGCACAUCUCUGAAUGCAAGGUCCAUGGCAACAAGCAGACGCAAUGGAAAAGACAGAUUGUUUUGUCAUCUUUUGCAGCGCCAUCCUUUAGUAUGUCAGGGAGCAGCUAAGGAAUGAAAUCAUGCUCCAUUUUGGAUCAUAAGAUUUUAAUUUGACCAUAAGCUAAGCCUCCACCACACGAAAAGUGAUGAAAAUACAAAAUUUGUUAUGUGAUGCAAUACAAUGCAAAUCUUAUGUACUCCCUCUGUAAAGAAAUAUAAGAGCGUUUAGAUCAUUACUUUACACGUUACCAUCGUAAUCUCAAGCUUUGAAUUUAGUACUACUCAUUAAUCAAUUGUGUGAUCUUAAGAAAAUGCUAUACCUCUAAAAUGAACAACUAAAAGGUCAUGAGACACGUAGUGAUCUCCAAAUAAAUUGGUUGUUCUAGGGGAAAAGUGAUGAAAAGUGUUGUUCUAGGGGAAAAGUGAUGACAAGCAUGGAUUAUCUGUUUCGUCAUCUUGGGAGGGGGAGGGUCAUCCACAUGACCACAAGCCAAGCCCACACCCCACGUCAAGUGAUGCAAAUCCCAAUCAUGUCAUGUCAUGAUUUACAAUGCAAAUCUUCUUUAAAACUUUACACAUUGGCAUCACUAUCUUAAGCUUGGCAUUUGGUACUCCCUACGAUCCAUAUUUGUUGUCGCUCAAACGGAUGUAUCUAGCACUAAAAUACAUCUAGAUACAUCUGUUUCAGCGACAACUAAUAUGAAUCAAAGGGAAUACUACUAAUUAGUUGUGUGAUCUUAAUAAAACACCAUGCUUCUAAAAUGAACAGGUCACGAGGCGUGUACCAAUCUCCAGAUGAAUUUGAUGUUCUACAGAAUUCAUAUGUGCGGAAAGAUAAGACUGAAAACCGCACACUUACCCGGGAUAGGAUGGGAUAUUUUGAGAAAUAGAUAAGGAUUAGUUCAGGUUUCUCCCAUAUAUACGAAAUGACUGGACGAUGACUAAUUAAACGAGAGACAACAAACCACUUAUCUUCCUUUAUGACUCAAUUGAUCGAGAGCCUUCCCAAGUUGCUUUUGCGGUUUUGUUGGUCACAAUGCAGAUGCUUUGAACCUUUGCACAACCGUGGGCAUGUGGCUCCCGUUAAAUAGCCACAAGAUACCAUAAAAUUAGCACUUCCAAAGUUCCCAUUUACUCUCUCUUCCUCUCAAGUCUAACCAAAGCCCAACAAACCACCACCUCGGCCAUGGCAACCACCCUCGCCACCGACGUCCGCCUCUCCAUCGCGCACCAGACCCGCUUCGCCCUCCGUCUCGCCUCCACCAUCUCAUCCAACCCUAAGUCUGCUGCCAGCAAUGCCGCCUUCUCCCCGGUCUCCCUCUACUCCGCACUUAGCCUCCUCGCCGCUGGCGCGGGCAGUGCCACUCGGGACCAACUCGUCGCCACACUCGGGACAGGCAAGGUCGAGGGACUCCACGCGCUCGCCGAGCAGGUGGUCCAGUUUGUGCUCGCCGACGCGUCCUCCACUGGUGGUCCGCNNNNNNNNNNNNNNNNNNNNNNNNNNNNNNNNNNNNNNNNNNNNNNNNNNNNNNNNNNNNNNNNNNNNNNNNNNNNNNNNNNNNNNNNNNNNNNNNNNNNNNNNNNNNNNNNNNNNNNNNNNNNNNNNNNNNNNNNNNNNNNNNNNNNNNNNNNNNNNNNNNNNNNNNNNNNNNNNNNNNNNNNNNNNNNNNNNNNNNNNNNNNNNNNNNNNNNNNNNNNNNNNNNNNNNNNNNNNNNNNNNNNNNNNNNNNNNNNNNNNNNNNNNNNNNNAAUGUAAAAGAAUUUUUAACGGACAUAAUUAUGUACAUUUGAGAGAAACAAUGACAUGCUUAACUAACUACUUCAGCCGCCUGUACAUGUUGGCAUGCCACUGCUUCACUCAAAGUGUUUGUUUUCUGCUGAUGUAAUAUAGAGGUCUGUAUUAAUCUUAUACACAUUCUAGAUUUGUAAUUUAGUGGUUAUCGUAUACCACUGUUUUUUACACUAGAAGCUUCACCUUUGUAAGCAUAGUUCGCACCUGCUACCUUGAACUGUGAAUGAUUUUGCCUAUCCUGUUAGUCGGCAUGAUUGGAGAUAACUAGUCUGUUACUUUUCUGAGCAUACCUAAUCUUUUGGGAGUGUAAUUCUCAUACCGUGCUAUCUAGGGAUAUGAAGGCUGGGGAAUUUUCUGAUGUUUUAUACUUUAAUUACGCUCUUCAGCGAAGUGAGAUUAUAAUUUUGGGAGUAUUUCCUGGAAACUUUGUCUCCAACGUAAGAAGAUGUACAAAAAAAUCAGCUAAAGAUUAUAAUUUUGGGAAUAUUUCUGUAAAAGGUAUUGCAUAGUGGUGCUUCGAGAUGUUGUGAUGGCCAUUCAAAUUUGUAUGCUCAUAUGAAUUGUUUUUCUAUCAUACGUUGUUGUAUGUGCUGAUUUAUGUGUUUGAAAAUUUUACUAUAAAAAUGCUUUAUAAAAACACUAGUAUGCUGCUUUGCAUUCUUAGCACAACUAUUAUAUUUUGUUCUUUGAAAGAAUUUUCUAUUGGUUUGUUCAAAGGUUGGUGGCACAGCAGUACCGUCAAACUAUUUUCAUUACAUAAUUGACCUUUGUUUAUUUUUUCCAUGGCCCAGGCCGCUGAAGUUACUACUCAAGUGAAUUCAUGGGUAGAGAAAGUCACGAGCGGUCGCAUCAAGGACAUUCUCCCCCCAGGAUCUAUUGACAAUACCACUAAACUUGUUCUUGCCAAUGCCCUUUAUUUCAAAGGAGCUUGGACAGAGCAGUUUGAUUCAUAUGGAACAAAAAACGACUACUUCUACCUUCUUGAUGGGAGCUCAGUUCAAACACCAUUCAUGUCCAGCAUGGAUGACCAAUACCUUUUGUCUUCUGAUGGGUUGAAGGUACUUAAGCUACCUUACAAGCAAGGUGGGGACAAUAGGCAGUUCUUCAUGUAUAUCCUUCUUCCAGAAGCACCAGGUGGUCUCUCAAGCUUGGCCGAAAAAUUGAGUGCUGAACCAGACUUCCUGGAGCGGCAUAUCCCAAGGCAGAGGGUUGCAC
RNAcentral lists this long non-coding RNA (29314 nucleotides) under Triticum aestivum (bread wheat). RNAcentral describes it as "long non-coding RNA (TAES_LNC007790)". Lineage: Eukaryota; Viridiplantae; Streptophyta; Magnoliopsida; Poales; Poaceae. The record is from RNAcentral.